AGAGAAAGUAGUAAGUGUGACACAUCAUUGAAAAGGACCAGGACCACCUCGUCUCAACCCGAUUUUUUGUAAAAGUACAGGAUGAAAACAAUAACUUAUUCUCCAAAAAGAUGUUAUGCUGUUAAACAAGUGUCUUCUGGAGAGGAUCACGGCAUCAUUAUGCGUAUUAGUAUAAAAUAUAUUUCUGUUUUGCACCAUCGAAUGUUUUCACAUUUUGAAUAAUGAAUGAUGAAAAUUAUAGAGAUUAAUGAUAUGCUUUUAUAGAAUGAUAUUCUGGUUUCCAUAAAUGCCAUUGUCAUCAAUAAAUUGUGCCCGCAACUGACAGAUUUAUAAAAUAUGAAUUAAAAUGACAUCAUAACAUGAA
Long non-coding RNA from Leptinotarsa decemlineata (Colorado potato beetle), 364 nucleotides. Lineage: Eukaryota; Metazoa; Arthropoda; Insecta; Coleoptera; Chrysomelidae. The record is from RefSeq and is a predicted model, not a curated record.